CCUCGGUCCUAUAACGACGAGGCAGCCGUUGCGGGCGAGCGAGCGACGACGGCAGCCGGAGAUUGGGAGCCCGCGGCGCCGUGACGGGUAGAUCCUCCGAUCCACGCACUGCCACCGGCUGGCCGCCCGCACGCCUCCCCGCCGACGGGCUCGCCGGCCCCUCCCCACGCGCCUUCCCUCCGACAAGCGCCGCUCCCGGAUCCUCCCCGCACGCCUCCCCUCCGACGGGCUCGCCGGCCCCUCCCCGCGCGCCUCCCCUCCGACGGGUGCCGGCUUCUCCCCGCCGACGGGCGCUGGCCCCUACCCGUCCGCCUCCCCGCUGGCGUUACUCGUCCCCUCCCCACGUGCCUCCCCGCGGGCAUUCGCCGGCCCCUACCCGCGAGUCUCCUUGCCGCCGGUCCCUCCCCGUGAAGCUCCCCGCCGCCAUCGACGCCAGCUGCUGCCCGCAAACGGGAUGGAUUCAAUGCCCGCUGCCGGAUCCAGCGCCCCCCACCACCAUCUCCCGAUUCACUGCCUGCCGCGCAUGGCGUCGCCCUUCCUUCCUCUUAUUCUUAUUUCCCAGCCGGCAGUGGCAUCACAUGUGCUGCAGCUUCCAGCGUCGUCCUCUGCCUUGUCGGCGCACAAGCCGUUCGCCUCAGCCACCCCAGUCCGUUCACAAUUUCCAGCAGAGUCCGUUCAACACUAGCGUGCAGCUACCCGCCUCCUAGAUUCAGGGACGCAUUCAUGGCUUCAUUCAACAAUUGGACUGUGGGCAGAUGUUGAUCAACAAGUGAGCUAAGGGACUGGGACGCCCUCCUCGCCGUGGCGUCAUUGCUGGCCGUCAGCGGCGGAAGCGGGGUGGCGGCCGGGACCUUGUCGUGCUCGUCUCUGACUACUGUCAAGGUAUGCAUGCACAUCUGUACUUUAGUCAACAAAAGACAACAGGGAUUGGUAUUAUGAUUUGUGAUCUGAUUGGUCCUGUGUGUUACUUUACUAUUGGACCGAGGAACCUGACAUUAAAAUGAAUCAUCUACAGGCUGGAACAUGGAGCUUGCAGCUUAUGUUUGUUGUAGUUCGAACUUAGGCUCAUCUCUCUCUUGUACUUCAGUUAUUCUUCAGUUUUCAGUAUUGGUGUAGUCUGUAUGGUGAAGAUGAAGUUCCUUUUUGAACUUCUCCGGUUAAUAUAGAUGAACUUGGUCAUCUUUUUUAUAUGUACUUACAUCAGCUCAUCCAGUUGUUCGUGUACUUGAAAUACUAAUCAGUUCAGAUCUCGAGAGAGGUAAGCUCAGAGAAAAAAAUACAGAAGUUCAAAGUCGAUAAAAAGGGGGAUGUUAUUUCUUUGUCUUGCCACCGUGGCCGAGUUAGCUUCAACCUGUGUAGUUUAGUCGCCAUAUUUGUGAUGCAUCCACAGUUAGUUGACCACAACUUGUACAAUUAAAUGCCACCUCUAGUUUCAGGUUUCUUCGUUGUUGUAAGGCUUGUGAAAUAUCUUACCACUGAGGUUGUGGUGCCUUUUUCUUUCAGUAAAAAUUCAGGUUGGGAAGCUUAUUUUUUCCAAAGUGAUUGUUUGGGUACUACAAGCUCCCAUAGAGUGGAAGCGAUUGUUACAACAGGUUUGAAGUAGAUAUUACACAAGGUUUGAUUUUUCUAGACCAUGUACAAGGACAGUAGCGUACUUAUGCAGUGGUCUGCCUUUUCUUAACUUUAUUUGAUUUUUUUGUGAAAUAUAUAAAAGCCGGUAGUAGUACUAUUACUUAUUUUACCACAGGUCAUUGACUUAAACUAUAUCAGUUUAGCACAUGUACUUACAAAACCAAAUCAACAGGUUUGUAGGUUUUUUUCAGCUCAUCUUGUUGGCUUUUUUGGUUCAUAUUGCAGGCUUUUAGGAUUAGAUUCUCAUGUCUGUUUCAGUAUUAAGGAGAAGUAAAACCAUUCAUUUCUUGUAUAUUUAUUAUUACUGUAGUACUAGCUACUCCGUUCUAGUAGUAUAUGGAGUAUGUGAUCAGCUCAUGCAGUAUAUACUAUGCACAAAAUGUCUGUAGGGUGCUUUACAUACAAAGAACUUGCUUUCUCUGGACCAUGCAAGCUUCCUCAAAGGAGCUCAUGUCGAACGAGUGCUUUACAUACAAAUGAGCGCAAAGAUGGCCAUUAGCUUAAUUUGGAUGUCGCGUGGCUGGCACCAUUAUCGUAAAUUUUUGUUUCUGCACUAAGUUUCCUAAUGUAUUUUCUUCACAAAAGUUUAGUGAAAAAUUUACUUCAUGUUACUCGUGAUCUCGCAACUGUAUGUUCACCUAUGAAGGUAUCUCUCAUUGCUUAUUGUUACAUUAAUUUCCAUGGUAAGAAAGGUUUACAUUAAAAGUAACAUCCAUAUAGGAAAAAUGCUUCUAUUCUAACACUUUUUUUUGGAAAAAAGAGCACUAGUACUGAUGAGUCGUAUUGACAAGGAUGCCGUCUACAAUUCUGAUGAGUCCUACUGAGAAGGAGAUAAUUAUUGUGCAACUGGAAAAAACAAAUGUUUUAUAAAGAAAUAUGCUUGAAGUUCAAUUACUAUGGUCUAAAAAAUUCAAUUACAUCUCUAGUGCAUUCAGAAUUGCUAAUUUAAAAAAAAAUGAAGUUCCUAUUUCAGGAUUAUGUAAGUUCAAAAUUAGUGUAUGAUAUGUGUGCCAUAGUUAUCUGGACUUCAAUUCUGACUAAUAUUCCAUUAUAGUACUACUGCAUAUUCACUUAUGAUUGCUUCUUGCUGCCACUAUUUUUAUCAUGAUUUUGUGUGUCCACCCAGGAGUGUUUUUGUUUCUGUAUUUUAGCUCCUCAACAACAGAAGCAUGUACAUGUAUUACUACUGCGAAGGUUCAAAAAUCAGAACUCAACAAGUUCAACAUCGAUGGUACUGUGCACAUGCGCUAAGCCGUUCUACAACAUAGCGCUAAGCCGUUCUACGCAGCUAAAGGAGGUGAAGGUGCUCCCCUUGGGUUCAUCUUGCAGGUUUCGUUCAAACUUGGCAACCUAGGUCGUUCAACAACACCACUAGAGCCCGUUCAGUUGGUGGCGUUCCAACUAGCCACUCAAAGUUGUGGCCAUUUAAUGACACUUUCUACAUUUGAGACAUGAGAAACUGUAGCCUUCCAGUGUGUUACCGUUUGGUAGCUCAGGAUGCUUUAUGUUUUGGAGAUCUACAAAGUGACUAUCUGAGAGCUGUGUUGGACUUUCUCAUUACAGCAUGGAACUUCUCUAGAAAUCCUAGUUGAUGCUUGCUCCCACCAGUCAAUUGUGCAAGUUCAGUGGGUGUCAUCGAGCAUGUUCAAAAGUAUGCCCUUUGUGCAAAAGUUUGAAUUUUUGUCAGUAUUUUGUAUAUUUCAUUUGGCAGAGGCUUCAUGUGAUCUUGUGGAGCUUUAUAAAAUGUUCUCUCAUCACACUUUUAAGGCCCUAUAGUUCAUUAUAUCAUACAUGUGUGGCCAUUCAGUAUGUAUUAUAGGAUCAGUUCUUGAAAAAGAAGAACACAUACA
Triticum urartu is the source of this 3482-nucleotide long non-coding RNA. RefSeq lists it as uncharacterized. The record is from RefSeq and is a predicted model, not a curated record. Lineage: Eukaryota; Viridiplantae; Streptophyta; Magnoliopsida; Poales; Poaceae.